UUACUACGUGGAAAAGAAUCACUUCAUAGAAAUGAAAAAUGUAUUUCUUGAAAUGAAUAUAAAUAAAAAAAAGCUUCAUAAUUUAUAGAGGAGUGAGACAAGGAUGCUUAAAUGUUAUCAAUUAACUGUAGUCAUCCGUACACAAAUGUUACAAGUUCACCAUGUUCAUCCGUAUACAAAACACGUACGGAUAUUGGCAAACAAUGCAAUUAACAAUGGAAUACUAUUUUUAGAAAUAUAAAUCCCCUCCUUGAAUCUUUCCGUAAUGAAUCAGUACUGAGCGGGUUCGAAAACGAGAAUCGAAGUAAUGCAACUCUGACUCCCGGCCGUAGAUCCCGUAGUGUACCUCUGUGUGUUGUGGAUUCUCUCUCGAGCAUUUUAUUAUGGCCAAGGAUGCUGUAGUGAAGAGGAAUUGUAAUCAAAAUGUGGGGCGCCGAUUCUGGGGUAUUCAUUUGCCUGCAAGGCGAUGCCACACCGUCGAUUCUCAGCCGAAACGUAAACAAAACACGAACUCACUCUGUGUCCGUGCCGCCCUGUGAUGGCUUCUCGACUCUGAUGGUGUGUGUUCAGGUGUGCAGCAAGGAAACCCGUACACUUCUGGAGGGUUUAAUGGUUGGCCCUAUCGUUGGAGGAUCGGACGCGAUAUUUCGGAGUGAGUGAUCCACGGAGAGAGCAGAGUGGCAUGGUGGCAUCAUAUAUCCUUGUCGGAAUAACUUUUUACUACAAAAUAUUUCCCGCGCACUUUGUCAUCUACAUACUUACUACAUUCCAUAUUUUUCAUGUAGCCUCUCCCCUACUCUGGUCACAUCUCAUAAUUUUGAAUUUUCUUUGGACUAUUAUUCUUUGUUACUGGCAUCUAUAGUAGAUCUUUUUAUAGCAUUU
Molecule: long non-coding RNA, 882 nt
Organism: Scylla paramamosain (green mud crab)
Lineage: Eukaryota; Metazoa; Arthropoda; Malacostraca; Decapoda; Portunidae
Exons: 2
Source: RefSeq, a predicted model, not a curated record